RNAcentral lists this ribosomal RNA (474 nucleotides) under uncultured organism. Its description in RNAcentral is "partial 16S ribosomal RNA". It matches the Rfam family "Bacterial small subunit ribosomal RNA", at positions 334 to 799 of the family's 1533-position model. The record is from RNAcentral.
CACUCCUACGGGAGGCAGCAGUGGGGAAUUUUGGACAAUGGGCGAAAGCCUGAUCCAGCAAUGCCGCGUGAGUGAAGAAGGCCUUCGGGUUGUAAAGCUCUUUUGUCAGGGAAGAAACGGUGAAAGCUAAUAUCUUUUGCUAAUGACGGUACCUGAAGAAUAAGCACCGGCUAACUACGUGCCAGCAGCCGCGGUAAUACGUAGGGUGCAAGCGUUAAUCGGAAUUACUGGGCGUAAAGCGUGCGCAGGCGGUUUUGUAAGUCUGAUGUGAAAUCCCCGGGCUCAACCUGGGAAUUGCAUUGGAGACUGCAAGGCUAGAAUCUGGCAGAGGGGGGUAGGAUUCCACGUGUAGCAGUGAAAUGCGUAGAUAUGUGGAGGAACACCGAUGGCGAAGGCAGCCCCCUGGGUCAAGAUUGACGCUCAUGCACGAAAGCGUGGGGAGCAAACAGGAUUAGAAACCCCUGUAGUCCCAUG